Molecule: non-coding RNA, 344 nt
Organism: Picea glauca (white spruce)
Lineage: Eukaryota; Viridiplantae; Streptophyta; Pinopsida; Pinales; Pinaceae
Source: Rfam
CCUUGAAUCUACACCCCUUAACCUUAUAAAUAAUCGACCCAUAACCCAUAACCUUUCUAAAGAUGCAAUGUGAUUUAUUCCCAUUGCUCGACAUGUCAAAGUGAAGAAAUUCAACCAAGAACGGAUAAACGACGAGAGUAACUAUGAAUAUAUUAAGAUAGCCAGAUGCCUCAUCAUCUAAUUAGUGAUGUGCAUGAAUGGAUAAUUAAUGAUAUUCCCCAUUGUCCCUAGCUACUAUAUUCUAGAGAAACCAUAUCCAAGGGAAUGGUCUUGGCAGAAUUAGCGGGGAAAGAAGACCCUCAUGUUGAUCUUGACUCUAGUCCUAACCCAUUCAUAGUUUGGGA